RNAcentral lists this ribosomal RNA (1047 nucleotides) under Bacteroides thetaiotaomicron. RNAcentral describes it as "bacterial SSU rRNA". It matches the Rfam family "Bacterial small subunit ribosomal RNA", at positions 228 to 1278 of the family's 1533-position model. Lineage: Bacteria; Pseudomonadati; Bacteroidota; Bacteroidia; Bacteroidales; Bacteroidaceae. The record is from RNAcentral.
GGGAUGCGUUCCAUUAGGCAGUUGGUGAGGUAACGGCUCACCAAACCUUCGAUGGAUAGGGGUUCUGAGAGGAAGGUCCCCCACAUUGGAACUGAGACACGGUCCAAACUCCUACGGGAGGCAGCAGUGAGGAAUAUUGGUCAAUGGGCGCANGCCUGAACCAGCCAAGUAGCGUGAAGGAUGACUGCCCUAUGGGUUGUAAACUUCUUUUAUAUGGGAAUAAAGUUUUCCACGUGUGGAAUUUUGUAUGUACCAUAUGAAUAAGGAUCGGCUAACUCCGUGCCAGCAGCCGCGGUAAUACGGAGGAUCCGAGCGUUAUCCGGAUUUAUUGGGUUUAAAGGGAGCGUAGGUGGACAGUUAAGUCAGUUGUGAAAGUUUGCGGCUCAACCGUAAAAUUGCAGUUGAUACUGGCUGUCUUGAGUACAGUAGAGGUGGGCGGAAUUCGUGGUGUAGCGGUGAAAUGCUUAGAUAUCACGAAGAACUCCGAUUGCGAAGGCAGCUCACUGGACUGCAACUGACACUGAUGCUCGAAAGUGUGGGUAUCAAACAGGAUUAGAUACCCUGGUAGUCCACACAGUAAACGAUGAAUACUCGCUGUUUGCGAUAUACAGUAAGCGGCCAAGCGAAAGCAUUAAGUAUUCCACCUGGGGAGUACGCCGGCAACGGUGAAACUCAAAGGAAUUGACGGGGGCCCGCACAAGCGGAGGAACAUGUGGUUUAAUUCGAUGAUACGCGAGGAACCUUACCCGGGCUUAAAUUGCAUUUGAAUAUAUUGGAAACAGUAUAGCCGUAAGGCAAAUGUGAAGGUGCUGCAUGGUUGUCGUCAGCUCGUGCCGUGAGGUGUCGGCUUAAGUGCCAUAACGAGCGCAACCCUUAUCUUUAGUUACUAACAGGUCAUGCUGAGGACUCUAGAGAGACUGCCGUCGUAAGAUGUGAGGAAGGUGGGGAUGACGUCAAAUCAGCACGGCCCUUACGUCCGGGGCUACACACGUGUUACAAUGGGGGGUACAGAAGGCAGCUACCUGGUGACAGGAUGCUAAUCCCAAA